CGAACGGGUGAGUAACACGUAGGUGAUCUACCCUGGGGAUGGGGAUAGCCUGUGGAAACACAGGGUAAUACCGGAUACGCCGAUUUUUCAAACCUUUGGAGAAUUGGGAAAGAUGCUAAGGCAUCGACCUGGGAUGAGCCUGCGGCUCAUUAGCUAGUUGGUGGGAUAAAGGCCUACCAAGGCGACGAUGGGUAGCCGGCCUGAGAGGGUGAACGGCCACACUGGGACUGAGAGACGGCCCAG
RNAcentral lists this ribosomal RNA (243 nucleotides) under uncultured bacterium. RNAcentral describes it as "partial 16S ribosomal RNA". It matches the Rfam family "Bacterial small subunit ribosomal RNA", at positions 99 to 334 of the family's 1533-position model. The record is from RNAcentral.